Molecule: transfer RNA, 77 nt
Filed under: Patescibacteria group bacterium
Lineage: Bacteria
Description: tRNA-Pro
Rfam family: tRNA
About the family: Transfer RNA (tRNA) molecules are approximately 80 nucleotides in length. Their secondary structure includes four short double-helical elements and three loops (D, anti-codon, and T loops).
Source: RNAcentral
CUAGACGUAGCUCAGUUUGGGAGAGCGGGCGCCCUGGAAGCGUCAGGUCGCUGGUUCAAGUCCAGCCGUCUAGACCA